Molecule: long non-coding RNA, 1180 nt
Filed under: Pavo cristatus (Indian peafowl)
Lineage: Eukaryota; Metazoa; Chordata; Aves; Galliformes; Phasianidae
Description: lncRNA (ENSPSTG00000002793.1)
Source: RNAcentral
AUGGUUUCUUUUAGAAACAGUUUAAUAAAGCGCAUAUAUGGAUGAUUUAAAACCCAGCGUCCCUUGAUUUGUUCAGCUUAUAUGUGAAAAUAGAAACAUAAUGGUGUUAGAGUUCAUUUGAAGUAAGAUGAUGAAAUGUUGCACAUAGUGUAUUUCUGUCGGAGUUUAAAACUGAAAUAGUGCCGUUGCAGGAAUCAGCUUUCAUAUAUCUUACAGUAUUAUUAACCAUUAUUAUCCUAGUUUCUUGUCCGUAACACAUGCAGUGCUGGCUGCACUCUGUUCUGGUUUUUAUAUUUUGUAGGUAUUCUUAAUUUUUUGUUUUAUAAGAAUCAUGAAUGUUUAUGUGCUUAAAUAUCAGCAUAAAUGGAGCUUGAAAUGUAAAUACACUUAAUAGCAUUUUGCAGUUAUUGUUCUGAGCUAUUGUCAGAAUAGGCUUUUACAUCAAUAUUAGUUCAUGUUUUCUAACCCCGCAAUAUUAACCUGCAGCGAAGACAACUCUUCAUUGUGACAGAAGAAAUUGCCUUAAAGAGAUGUUUUCACAUUAAUUUAAGGAAUUCUUUGUACUCUAAAAGUGAAUACCUUAUAUUUUCAGUCAAUUAGGUAUUGAGAUGCUUUAAUUUUAUGCUAAUAAAGUAACAAUCAUUACACUUCUGAUUUUCUUUGNUUUUUUUUUUUUUUUUUUUUUUUUUUUUUUUAUGGAUUACUCCCUGGAAAGAGUUGGGGGGAUAUAAGCAAAGAUGUUGCUACUGUAUCUAAGCUUCAAAUGGAAGUGCUUGAAAUAAAUGUGUAGCUUCAUUGUCAUUUUCUCUUUUUUAGCAGAAACAGCCUGUGCAACUGAGAACAAAUAAUGGAAGGUUUCAUGGGUGUAGAGAUGACUAACCUAGCUCAAGAGCUGUAUGUUGUGCAAAGGAAUUGGAACAAUUCUUAGAAAUUUUCCUCAAAUGACCAGGAGAUGAUAGAGGAUUUGUUGAGGCAAUAACCUGAAAAAGUCUUACAAGCUGGGAAAAGCAGGCGUUCCAGGUGGCUGGAAAGAUUGGAGAGGUGAGAAGCAGCUUUCAGGAGCUGGUUGCCUGCAGAGCAUGGGCAUUCUGCAAAGUGAGGACCAGGAGGCAAAAGAAAUGUCUGCUUGUGUGUGGGAUCACAACACAGGUUGCAUUACCUAAUUUUUGAGCCCCCAGGA